UAUCUUGACUUUCCCGCUUUUUCCCGCUAUAAUAACACCGUCGCUUCGGCGAAGAUGACACUGAUUGGGUUGUGCAAUAGGUCUUUUGGACUGGGGGGCGGUACCCCACAGCUCCACCAAUAAAAAACCGUAGGUUGUGGAUUUAGGCCCAUGACCGUAUUACGGGGCUGACAUAGAUUCGACAGGGAUUGAAAGACAGCGCUUGUGUUCCGGAGUGGUUUCCGCAAAAUCCGUUAAAACGACUGCUAAAAACAUUCCUGCGAACGACAACGUUCGCCUUGCGAUGGCCGCCUAACCAGGCUUGACGCGGAUGCCGAUUGGUUGAAACGUCGUCAUGGUCAUCACGGGGUCCGCCCGAACCCGGCAACAGAAUCGGGCAAAA
RNAcentral lists this transfer-messenger RNA (382 nucleotides) under Rickettsiales bacterium. It matches the Rfam family "Alphaproteobacteria transfer-messenger RNA". Rfam says of the family: Bacterial tmRNA, also known as 10Sa RNA or SsrA, is named for its dual tRNA and mRNA-like properties. Lineage: Bacteria; Pseudomonadati; Pseudomonadota; Alphaproteobacteria; Rickettsiales. The record is from RNAcentral.